AGAGUUUGAUUAUGGCUCAGGACGAACGCUGGCGGCGUGCUUCAUACAUGCAAGUCGAACGAGAACUUCACUUCGGUGGAGGGAAAGUGGCGGACGGGUGAGUAAUGUGUAGAGAAUCUGCCCUAGAGUGGGGGAUAGCCACUGGAAACGGUGAUUAAUACCCCAUACGAGCGUGGUUGAGAUACCAUGUUUAGAAAACUCCGGUGCUCUGGGAUGAGUCUGCAUCUGAUUAGCUAGGUUGGGGUGUAAUGGACCACCAAGGCGACGAUCAGUAGCUGGUUUGAGAGGAUGAUCAGCCACAAUGGGACUGAGACACGGCCCAUACUCCUACGGGAGGCAGCAGUAGGGAAUUUUGCGCAAUGGGGGAAACCCUGACGCAGCCAACGCCGCGUGAUCGAGACGCUUUUCGGAGUGUAAAGAUCUGUCAGUGGGGACGAAAGAUGACGGUACCCACAGAGGAAGCACCGGCUAACUCCGUGCCAGCAGCAGC
Molecule: ribosomal RNA, 490 nt
Filed under: uncultured bacterium
Lineage: Bacteria
Description: bacterial SSU rRNA
Rfam family: Bacterial small subunit ribosomal RNA
Source: RNAcentral